RNAcentral lists this ribosomal RNA (450 nucleotides) under uncultured bacterium. Its description in RNAcentral is "partial 16S ribosomal RNA". It matches the Rfam family "Bacterial small subunit ribosomal RNA", at positions 354 to 796 of the family's 1533-position model. The record is from RNAcentral.
GUGGGGAAUUUUGGACAAUGGGCGCAAGCCUGAUCCAGCAAUGCCGCGUGCAGGAAGAAGGCCUUCGGGUUGUAAACUGCUUUUGUACGGAACGAAACGGUCCUGGCUAAUAUCCGGGGCUAAUGACGGUACCGUAAGAAUAAGCACCGGCUAACUACGUGCCAGCAGCCGCGGUAAUACGUAGGGUGCAAGCGUUAAUCGGAAUUACUGGGCGUAAAGCGUUCGCAGGCGGUUUUGUAAGACAGGCGUGAAAUCCCCGGGCUAAACCUGGGAAUUGCGCUUGUGACUGCAAGGCUGGAGUGCGGCAGAGGGGGAUGGAAUUCCGCGUGUAGCAGUGAAAUGCGUAGAUAUGCGGAGGAACACCGAUGGCGAAGGCAAUCCCCUGGGCCUGCACUGACGCUCAUGCACGAAAGCGUGGGGAGCAAACAGGAUUAGAAACCCGAGUAGUCC